Molecule: ribosomal RNA, 449 nt
Filed under: uncultured bacterium
Lineage: Bacteria
Description: partial 16S ribosomal RNA
Rfam family: Bacterial small subunit ribosomal RNA
Source: RNAcentral
AACGAACGCUGGCGGCAUGCCUAACACAUGCAAGUCGAACGAGACCUUCGGGUCUAGUGGCGCACGGGUGCGUAACGCGUGGGAAUCUGCCCUUAGGUACGGAAUAACGCAGGGAAACUUGUGCUAAUACCGUAUGAUGUCGAGAGACCAAAGAUUUAUCGCCUAGGGAUGAGCCCGCGUAGGAUUAGCUAGUUGGUGGGGUAAAAGCCUACCAAGGCGACGAUCCUUAGCUGGUCUGAGAGGAUGAUCAGCCACACUGGGACUGAGACACGGCCCAGACUCCUACGGGAGGCAGCAGUGGGGAAUAUUGGACAAUGGGCGAAAGCCUGAUCCAGCAAUGCCGCGUGAGUGAAGAAGGCCUUCGGGUUGUAAAGCUCUUUUACCCGGGAAGAUAAUGACUGUACCGGGAGAAUAAGCCCCGGCUAACUCCGUGCCAGCCGCCGCAGUAA